Molecule: long non-coding RNA, 247 nt
Filed under: Olea europaea subsp. europaea
Lineage: Eukaryota; Viridiplantae; Streptophyta; Magnoliopsida; Lamiales; Oleaceae
Source: RNAcentral
CCGAGUUGGUGGAACAAUCACUUCGCUGGGACGCUGGAAGCAAGGGUGGGGAGUUCGAUUCCUGGAGUUAACACUGGGAGCCAUAUGGAGAGGAAUCCAUUGGUGUGAACAAACGCCCAGUGAGGAGAGCUCUCUUUGCUGAAGGAGUCCAAAUGAGUUGUGAGAACCUGGGAGCCAAUAAGGACACAUCCUGCGAUUUACCUCCCUGGGCUGCUGAGGGGCCGGAGGUUCAGGGACAAGGAUCUAG